GGGAGCACACGGCAUUUAGCAGGCCACCGGGGUCCUGCCUCCACGGGGAGGGCUGCUCUGAGCAUUUCCUCGCCCUCGUAGCCACCGCCUUCCUCUCUCCUGUGGGGCAUUCUGGGAGUCCAGAAGGCUUUUCUAGGCCUAGGAGUGUCCACUCCACUUAGAACUGUCCGUAGAACUUCCUGGGGUGAUGGGGAUACAGUCCUAUCUCAGAGAUUUCAUACCUUACUCAUCAGCCACGGGGAGUUUUUGGCGCUAGCAGUGUGGCUAGUAGCUACUACAUUGGAUUGCUCAGGUCCAGAGGAAUGUUUCCCGACCUUCUGCAAGUCAGAACAAACGCCAAAUCGGACAAAGGGAUAAAAGAUCCACGGAUGUGGCAGCGAGAGCUCCAGCUGUCCCAGCGCCUCGGAUGCAGCUUCUCAACACAGCAGUAUCGAUAAGGAAACAUCACAACGGUGGACUUGGGACAUUCCGCAGACACUAUCUCCCUGCAUCAGCAGUGACUAUUCAUCUCACUUGGAAAUCCAAAACAAGAGCAAAUGGGUAGCUGUAUGCCAGCACUGCUGUACCCCGGCAUCCUGGAGUGUGGAUAUAUUAGAGCAAGCCAAGUCCAAGAACAUUACCGAGAACCUACUGUGCUCACAGAACCAGCCCCUCUCCUGCCAAGAUUAGGAGCUGUAGUGAUGCUUUUCUUCAGCCUGCAGUGAAACUAUGACCCAUAAACGCUGCUCUUUCCUGCCAUAGGACCGUCCCAGGGGAUCCACACAGACACAUGGGAACAGAGUCCUCUAAGGGAAACCAAAGAUUUACACUGCUCAGCUCUACAACAUCAGUGUCUUCAGAUUCUCUCUUUUCAGGAUUAAGAUUAAAAAAAGAACACGCAGCAUGGCUAACAGAUGCUGUCCUACCAGAAACAGCCAUAAGGCCUAGAGGGGUACUUCCUGGGCAAAGCCAGCGUCUAGACUUGGUCAGUGUCUGGACCUGAGACACAGCACACACUGAAGAACCGAAAAAGCGCAACGGUUUCAAAUCACUCCCAGACACAGCAGAUUCCAUGUCAGCCCUUCAGAGGCGGCGCAGUCGGCUUUGAACACUGUACCAUUUUCCUCCAUCAAGGGCACUGCAGAUUUUAUCACCCACCCCACACUAAACUAGGUCCUGCUGAGCCUGCAGAAUGUGGCAGGAGGUUUCAAAGCCACGUGAUGGGAUCACCCGCCCGUCCUCUCAGGCUAAAGUCAGGACAGUGCUCUGUCAGGGCAAGGGAAGCAGCCUCAUGGUUGGGGGCAGCAGGGAAGCCUCCUCCUGAGCUCUGGGCCUGGGCUUGUCUUUGGCAUUUGAGUUCCUGCCGGGAGUAUGUUCUCUGCACUGUAAGACACACUGUCCCCUGAGAGCAGGACGCUAAGGAGCAAGUAAAGGGCCUCUCCACUCACUUCAUGCUUCGAGGGAAGCUAUUCCUUCUCCUCAUCCUUGUGCCCACUGAGGCUGUGCACGUCCAUUAGUGACUAAUGUGGUAGGAAGGCAUUGCAGGCCUCUCCUGGCCACACACACACACGCACACUCCAUUUACCUAGCCGGCCACUCUUAACUGGAGAACAACCUCUUAUUUUACACUUGCAUGACUUUCAAUGCCAACUUCCACUAGGAGCUGCCAGUAGCCACUGACAAAAUUGUCUCACUCAAUUAUGAUGCCACACACUGACCUUAACCUGAACCAAAUGUCACGUAAGGCUGCACUCCCCCGCUGCACAUCUGAAAUAUUUAUCCAAAGAAGCCUUUCAGUCGUAAAGAAAUGGUCAGACCCGUACAAAGGUGAAUCUUAGAAGCACCUGACCCACUCGCUUCUAAUCCUUUGGCACAUCUUGGGAGCUCCUGCCUGAGAACAGUCAGUAGAGGUUUCAGCAACGCUUUCCAGGAAGAGGGUGAGGUGCCCGCCCUCCAUCAAGACUAACCCAGCAGGCACCAAAUGCCCCCACAGGAGCAUCAUCCCAUAGGAAAAGACACGUUUUCAGCACAUACUACCAAUAUUUUGAUAAAAUGUAUAUGUGAUGAUCUUAAGCCAUAUACCACUAAUAAAAGCUAAUUGCCUUUUUCUUAGUAAAGUUCUGACUUUCCUGCCCAUCUUCCAGCAACUAUCUUCUUUACACCAAAUUUCCAGUGGCAAACGCUAGUGCAUGGAUGCAGACCCACCCCAUGCCCAGCCUGGGCAAG
Long non-coding RNA from Talpa occidentalis (Iberian mole), 2205 nucleotides. RefSeq lists it as uncharacterized. The record is from RefSeq and is a predicted model, not a curated record. NCBI's taxonomy places the organism in Eukaryota, Metazoa, Chordata, Mammalia, Eulipotyphla, Talpidae. The transcript is spliced from 4 exons.